This 58-nucleotide small nuclear RNA is filed under the name Mandrillus leucophaeus (drill). Lineage: Eukaryota; Metazoa; Chordata; Mammalia; Primates; Cercopithecidae. The record is from RNAcentral.
GUGCUUGCUUUGGCAGCAUAUAUACUAAAAUUGGAACAAUACAGAGAAGAUUAGUAUG